GGGAGUUUGGCCGAGUGGUUAAGGCGUUGUGUUUAGGUCUUCUGUUCUAUCUUAUGGGACGCCUGAAGCCCGCAAUGGGAAACCGCGCAGGUUCGAAUCCUGCAGCUCUCA
This 111-nucleotide transfer RNA is filed under the name Hypoxylon rubiginosum. RNAcentral's name for it is "tRNA-Leu". It matches the Rfam family "tRNA". Rfam says of the family: Transfer RNA (tRNA) molecules are approximately 80 nucleotides in length. Their secondary structure includes four short double-helical elements and three loops (D, anti-codon, and T loops). Lineage: Eukaryota; Fungi; Ascomycota; Sordariomycetes; Xylariales; Hypoxylaceae. The record is from RNAcentral.